Molecule: long non-coding RNA, 1276 nt
Filed under: Sorghum bicolor (sorghum)
Lineage: Eukaryota; Viridiplantae; Streptophyta; Magnoliopsida; Poales; Poaceae
Description: long non-coding RNA (SBIC_LNC010111)
Source: RNAcentral
GACCUAAACUUGUGGGAUGAAAACUUGAUCUGAAGUCUAAGUUGUUAACGGAUACGAUAUGGGAAGGUUGAGCUGCUGUUUAUCUGUUCCUAGAGAUGCUAGAAUUCUGGAGAAUUUUAUUUUUGAAAAUCUUUAAAAUGUUGCAUGAUGAGUUCCUGUAUGAUGAGAGUUUAAAUUCCUACCACAGCCAUAUAUACAUGCUUGUUAGACUUUGAGCCACACAUUUAUUAUUUACUGCUUAUGAGCAUUGAGUGUGGUCAAGCUGUGUUGACCCUUAGGAGCUUGUCAUGUGGUUAAAUCAAGAUUUCACUUGCACGUUCACUCAUAUAUGCUACUUCUACCCCGGAAGUACCAUCCACAUAUAUCCACCCAUUCCAUCUCCGGAAUCACCCAAAAAUAUUCUACUCCUAACCCGGGAGAGAAUAACCAAAAAUAUUUCUGUUUUCCCCUUGUGAAAUAAAUGCUCAAGUUAUCUUGUUACUACCACUUGCUAUAUUAUCUCAAGAGAUGAAUGCUCUGAAAAAAAAGAAAGAUACGAGGAAAUAAAAAGGAGCAAGUGCUCGGAACCUCGAAAGAAAAGAAAAGUGAGACGAGAGGUAAAAAUGGACAAGUGUCCGACAGUAGAAUUAGGGGUGCAAGAUACGCACCUGAGAGGAAAGAAAAAGAUAGAGCAUCUCAUUCUCAUCAUAAAGUUUCAAAAAGCAAGGAAGGUAUGUAACCCCUCAAAAGAGCAAAAGUAGAAUUAGACUUCCACCUCCAUUGUUUUCACCAUUGUUUCCACCAUUGUUAUCACCAUCAUCACCAUACACCAUCCAUUCGCCACACAUGCACAUCUUGAUUAAACUUAUUGACUUGUUACUUUGGAUCCAUGGUUUGACUAUGCAAUAAAUGUCUUGUAAGUAUGUAUACUUUAUCUCCCACCUAUGAGCUCCAGAUAUUAAAGCCUUAUUAGAGUAGGGUGAGAGAGAAGGCAAUGUCACUAUGCCUCAUACCACAAAUACUACAUAUUUUGAGAGAAGGCAUAUACCAUCACUGCCUUGGUAAGGAUCCAAAAAUACCACAAAAGAGAGACCUGAGAGAAUCAUACAAGGAAUUUCUGAGUUUUAUUUGAAAAUCUGCAAAAACCCCAGAGCUAUAGCUGAUCAAGAAUAAGAGACAUGGCACUUGGCUAGACUGUUCUAUCUUUUAACUACUCAAGACAGAAGUGAUAGUUACAAGUCCCAUGGUGAAGGUAAAGUAAGUAAGUUUUAAGUCUUGACAGUUUACUCUAACUCAG